RNAcentral lists this ribosomal RNA (774 nucleotides) under uncultured bacterium. Its description in RNAcentral is "bacterial SSU rRNA". It matches the Rfam family "Bacterial small subunit ribosomal RNA", at positions 627 to 1399 of the family's 1533-position model. The record is from RNAcentral.
UUCGAACUAGCAUGCUAGAGUGCUGGAGGAGGUAAGCCGGAAUCCUUGUGUAGUGGUGAAAUGCGUAGAUAUUAGGAGGAACACCAGUCGCGAAGGCGGCUUACUGGACAGUAACUGACGUUGAGGCUCGGAAGCGUGGGGAGCAAACACGAUUAGAUACCCUGGUAGUCCACGCCGUAAACAAUGAAUGAUAGGUGUCGGUGGGCAAAGCCCAUCGGUGCCGCCGCAAACGCAGUAAGCAUUCCACCUGGGGAGUACGUUCGCAAGAAUGAAACUCAAAGGAAUAGACGGGGACCCGCACAAGCGGUGGAGCAUGUGGUUUAAUUUGAAGCAACGCGAAGAACCUUACCAAGUCUUGACAUCCCAAUGAAUGCCUGGCAAAGCAGGCAGUCCUCCGGGACAUUGGAGACAGGUGGUGCAUGGUUGUUGUCAGCUCGUGUCGUGAGAUGUUGGGUUAAGUCCCGCAACGAGCGCAACCCUUAUCCCCAGUAGCCAGCACGUAGAGGUGGGCACUCUGUGGAGACUGCCAGGGACAACCUGGGGGAAGGUGGGGAGGACGUCAAAUCAUCAUGCCCCUUAUGAUUUGGGGUACACACGUGCUACAAUGGCGUGAACAGAGGGAGGCAAAGGGGGGACCUGGAGCAAACCCCAAAAAUAACGUCCCAGUUCGGACUGCGGCCUGCAACCCGGCCGCACGAAGCUGGAAUCGCUAGUAAUCGCGGAUCAGAAUGCCGCGGUGAAUAAGUUCCCGGGUCUUGUACACACCCCCCGUCA